Long non-coding RNA from Pelobates fuscus (common spadefoot toad), 893 nucleotides. RefSeq lists it as uncharacterized. The record is from RefSeq and is a predicted model, not a curated record. The transcript has 2 exons. Lineage: Eukaryota; Metazoa; Chordata; Amphibia; Anura; Pelobatidae.
GAAUCACCAAUCAAAAUGACGCGCGAUCUUUGCACGUUUUGUUUGGUUCGUGAUUCGGCUACAUUUCAGCUCAAAGUCUGCAAAUUCGAAUGAUCAAAUGAUAGUUGGACAGAAUAAAAACAGGAUAAAGUGAGGAGAGUUUUUAUUCUGCUCCCUAUAUGCUGAGGAUUAUUGCACACUACAAGAAUAACCCAACAACUGCGAAAGACGCCCCCAAAGACGCACAAGAACUAUCAACGUAUCCACAGAUGGGGAUCAUACCGUCCAGGUGCACAUAUCUGGAACUCAUCAUAAGCUCCCGAAAAGUGCAUUUUGUUUUAUUCAUAACCACCAAGAAUUUUAAACAUACUACACUAUAUUAAGUUUCUUUUCAUCUUAUGCCCCAUAUUACUCCGGAUUUGAGAACACCACCACGGAGCUGCACCCCCUUUUCACUAUCAAUAAUGUAUUUAUUUUAUUUUAAUUUUUUUUUAGCCUACAAUGAACGUUUUGUCUACAAGUUAAAAAAAAACACAGCACAUCGUUUAAUAAGAUCAGUGACAAAGAGGUUGAUUCACUCGAUUUUAGUAAACGGAAAACCAAGUUGUGAAAUACAAACAAAAAGUGUUGAUUUUAAAAAAAUUCCCACACCCUGUGGUUUGUUUAAAAUGAAAUAAUACCCGAUUCAUAGUACAGACUCAGAGUGGGGCUAUUGUUAUGAUCUAUUUAAAUGUUACAGUGUUAGUAUUCUCACAAUGUGUAGGGGGAAUCAUUUGUGAGCAAUCAAUGUCUCACUGGUUGAGUUGAAAUCCAGGUGAGUUCAGUCACUUUGCUACUUCUUACAAACAAGACAUUGACUUGGUGUAAACAUCUGAAAAAUUUAUAAUCCUGUGCCCGACUCUUCAUUAAUUCUU